This 341-nucleotide unclassified non-coding RNA is filed under the name soil metagenome. RNAcentral's name for it is "partial contains 5.8S ribosomal RNA, internal transcribed spacer 2, and large subunit ribosomal RNA". The stretch from base 1 to 120 matches the Rfam family "5.8S ribosomal RNA", at positions 35 to 154 of the family's 154-position model. The record is from RNAcentral.
GAUGAAGAACGUAGCGAAAUGCGAUAAGUAAUGUGAAUUGCAGAAUUCAGUGAAUCAUCGAAUCUUUGAACGCACAUUGCGGCCAUAGGUAUUCCUUUGGCCAUGCCUGUUCGAGCGUCAUUUACACCCUCAAGCCUAGCUUGGUGUUGGGCGCCUGUCCCGCCGUUUUCGCGCGCGGACUCGCCUCAAAGUCAUUGGCGGCGGUCGUGCCGGCCCCCUCGCGCAGCACAUUUGCGCUUCUCGGAGGCCCGGCGGAUCCGCGCUCCAGCAAGACCUUUCACGACUUGACCUCGGAUCAGGUAGGGAUACCCGCUGAACUUAAGCAUAUCAAUAAGCGAGGA